GACGAACGCUGGCGGCGUGCUUAACACAUGCAAGUCGAGCGGUAAGGCCCUUUCGGGGGUACACGAGCGGCGAACGGGUGAGUAACACGUGGGUGACCUGCCCUCAGCUCUGGGAUAAGCCUGGGAAACCGGGUCUAAUACUGGAUAUGACUCCAUGACGCAUGUUGGUGGGGUGGAAAGCCUUGUGCGGCUGAGGAUGGGCCCGCGGCCU
This 211-nucleotide ribosomal RNA is filed under the name uncultured bacterium. Its description in RNAcentral is "partial 16S ribosomal RNA". It matches the Rfam family "Bacterial small subunit ribosomal RNA", at positions 28 to 239 of the family's 1533-position model. The record is from RNAcentral.